This is a long non-coding RNA of Solanum tuberosum (potato), 1418 nucleotides long. RefSeq lists it as uncharacterized. NCBI's taxonomy places the organism in Eukaryota, Viridiplantae, Streptophyta, Magnoliopsida, Solanales, Solanaceae. The record is from RefSeq and is a predicted model, not a curated record. The transcript is spliced from 2 exons.
CAAACUAGGGGAAGAUUUUGGGUUACCAACCCCUAUAUCCCAAAAUCCUCCCUCUAUUCCUAAUGUACUUAGAGGUAUGGACAAAGAAGGAAAUACAAAGGCCUCUAAGAUCACAGGUAUUGAAUCAAUGCUCCCAUUACCCCUCACUCCUUUAGACAAUUGUUUAACUGUUGUGGAAGUUGUUGGAGUGUUGGAUGGAGAGUUGGAGGAGAACAUCACUAACUUGCAGGAAGGGGUAUCCUUUAUAUCAAGUAAUUGCAGCUAAUGUAAUGGGAAGGUAUCUAUCCAAGAGGUCACCUAUAUUUCAAAUUUCUUGCACAUUUUGUUGUGCAUUUUCCACAUGAUCACUCUAGGCUGCAGUGGAUAACUUUUUAUGCUGAGUAAUUAUCUACCUAUGAUAAGUGGUCAUUGGGUUGGUCUCGCAAGAAAAACAACCCCUAUUUGAAAUUCCAUUUAUCGAAUACAAAGUUUCAUUUGCAAUACAGAACUCUGCAUUACUUAUGUAUCUCUACAUAAUAAGUACAAUGUUUGUUUUCAGGUGUAGAACUCUCCGAAACUUUUGCUUCACUUGGUUUCUGAUAUGAACUCCAUAUACUAAUACAUGCAUAAUUUAUGCAGAAAUGUAUGCAGUAUUAUUUUUAUGUGGGAUAUAAUGUGGAAUAAUAAUAUACAUUAGUCUUUCAAGGAUACAAGUAUCUAAAAGACAAAAAUAUCCUUAAAGUAAGCAAUCACUGCAAUCUGCUUAAGCUUGACAGUAUCUGUUUUAUUAUUUACUAGAUUCUCUACAUUAUAAUCACUGUAUAACAAUUCAUGUAUUGACUGUUACCUUCUCAAAAAAAAAAAACAAUUCAUGUAGUACAAACCUUUGUUUAAUUAGUUCAUUAACCAGACAAACCCUAAGAGUUUCAAGGGUGGACAUAAUAACCUGAAGAAACUACCAAUAUAUACAUGCUCCAAUCACCUAAAUGAUCUAUAUGAGUAAGAUAUUGGAUUUUGAUGGUGAAUUUGAAAAUCAGUGUGAAAUUCUAAAUACUUAAUGACUGUACUUCCCAGAAGAAAGUAUCUUUUCUUGACUGCAUCAUUAGCUUCCGUUCUGUGGUCAGAAAUCCUUUGGAAGAACCUCAAGGCAUGGCAGAUUUGGAAGGUCAUGCUUCUCAACACCAUCCUAGUAACUGGGUAGAAGCAGAUGACGAUGAUGAUGAAGGAGAUGAGUCAGAGUUGUGUGUUCAAUCAACUCCUCCAUAUCAUUAGGAAUACAACAGCUCAAUCUGUUGUAUAAUCCUAACAAGUAGUUUGUUAUUGAUGAAUUUUGCUGUAAGUAUGUACAAUUACCCUACCAAUGCUCCACUUGUCUACUUUGCACUUGGUUUCUUCUUACCUAAUCAGUUCUCUAUAGGUAAUUCAUGUUUACCAUGAAA